This 124-nucleotide microRNA precursor is filed under the name Podarcis lilfordi (Lilford's wall lizard). Lineage: Eukaryota; Metazoa; Chordata; Lepidosauria; Squamata; Lacertidae. The record is from RNAcentral.
GCGCAUGCGCAUACGUUAUUUCUGGUGCACAUCUGGGUCGGAGGAGGCCCAUGCACAUGCACACAAGCUAUUUCUGGUGCUCCUCCGACCUGGAAGUGCGCCGGAAAUAGUGUGUGCGCACGCA